This 379-nucleotide ribosomal RNA is filed under the name uncultured eukaryote. Its description in RNAcentral is "partial 18S ribosomal RNA". It matches the Rfam family "Eukaryotic small subunit ribosomal RNA", at positions 592 to 976 of the family's 1831-position model. The record is from RNAcentral.
CAAUAGCGUAUAUUUAAGUUGUUGCAGUUAAAAAGCUCGUAGUUGGAUUUCGGAUGGGAUUUGCCGGUCCGUCGUUACGAUGUGCACUGGCCAGUCCUAUCUUGUUGUCGGGGACUAGCUCCUUGGAUUCACUGUCCGGGACUGGGAGCCGACGAAGUUACUUUGAGUAAAUUAGAGUGUUCAAAGCAAGCCUACGCUCUGAAUAUAUUAGCAUGGAAUAACACGAUAGGACUCUGGCUUAUCUUGUUGGUCUGUGAGACCAGAGUAAUGAUUAAGAGGGACAGUCGGGGACAUUCGUAUUUCAUUGUCAGAGGUGAAAUUCUUGGAUUUAUGAAAGACGAACUUCUGCGAAAGCAUUUGUCAAGGAUGUUUUCAUUAA